Long non-coding RNA from Drosophila serrata, 812 nucleotides. RefSeq lists it as uncharacterized. The record is from RefSeq and is a predicted model, not a curated record. NCBI's taxonomy places the organism in Eukaryota, Metazoa, Arthropoda, Insecta, Diptera, Drosophilidae.
CUGUCUUUGAUUUUACUUUACAAACCUUAAAUUACCCGAAAGGCAUAUCAAAUAGAAACAAAUAUAUUCCGAUCAUUUCAGAAACGUAGUCAACUCCCCAAAAACCAACCAAUCUAAUGCCAAAUUGACUUUCAAACCGUGAUGACAAAGUGGCAAACCAUUAAUUUCACUCCGUUCCCGGAUUCCACUUCCGAUCUAAGCGAGCCAAAGCCAUGACAAAUGUUUUGUAAAUAACGCGUAUCCAGGCGAUGCGACAACGUGGCGUAUGGGUGAUGGCCAACCAGAAGGUAAAGACGGGACAGGUAAAGUAUGUUGCACCUGCCAGCAGGGAAAAAGAAGACGCAAAGAGACAAAUGGCUCACAUAAGAGAAGUGAUGGCUUUCUUUUGAUGCAUUUUAUGUGCAGAGCAAAGAAUGGAACAAUGUAUUUUGGAAAAAUCGAACAAUAGCAAUUGUACCUCAAUCAAAAUUAAACCUGUAGACCAAAACCGAAGGUAUUCUACCAAUCAUGGCCACAAUUUCUCAUGCCUCGGCAAGCUUCAGGGAGCAGGGGCAGAACACAGUUUGCCACAUUCCCAUUGAGCCGGAAAUGUGCAGGAAAUGCGAGUAAACACAAAAAGCGAUUCGAGUCGACAGUGGAUGGACAUCGAGAGGACAACAGCAUCAAUGGCUUGUCGGAGGAGGAAGCCCAAGGAGAUGCCAUUGGGUCAGGUCAUUCGCAUUCAAUAAUCCCCCGCAAAAUAGCAACAAGAAAAUAACAAUAACAAGGGAAAGCGAAACAUGGAGAAAAUGUUAUAGACUUAAAGUGUAUAU